CCUACGGGAGGCAGCAGUGGGGAAUUUUGGACAAUGGGCGCAAGCCUGAUCCAGCAAUGCCGCGUGAGUGAAGAAGGCCUUCGGGUUGUAAAGCUCUUUUGUCAGGGAAGAAACGGCCGAGGCUAAUACCUUUGGCUAAUGACGGUACCUGAAGAAUAAGCACCGGCUAACUACGUGCCAGCAGCCGCGGUAAUACGUAGGGUGCAAGCGUUAAUCGGAAUUACUGGGCGUAAAGCGUGCGCAGGCGGUUUUGUAAGUCUGACGUGAAAUCCCCGGGCUCAACCUGGGAAUUGCGUUGGAGACUGCAAGGCUGGAGUCUGGCAGAGGGGGGUAGAAUUCCACGUGUAGCAGUGAAAUGCGUAGAGAUGUGGAGGAACACCGAUGGCGAAGGCAGCCCCCUGGGUCAAGACUGACGCUCAUGCACGAAAGCGUGGGGAGCAAACAGGAUUAGAUACCCUGGUAGUCCACGCCCUAAACGAUGUCUACUAGUUGUCGGGUCUUAAUUGACUUGGUAACGCAGCUAACGCGUGAAGUAGACCGCCUGGGGAGUACGGUCGCAAGNUUAAAACUUAAUGAAUUGACGG
Molecule: ribosomal RNA, 584 nt
Filed under: uncultured bacterium
Lineage: Bacteria
Description: bacterial SSU rRNA
Rfam family: Bacterial small subunit ribosomal RNA
Source: RNAcentral